UGUGCGGCCAUUUAUCAAGGAAAGUCAUACCUCUUCCGUCUUACAAUUUAAAAGCAAAAUUCCUGAGUGACAUGAAUAUAACUUCCACUGGUUUCAACAUCACUGUACAACUGGAGUCUUCGAAUUGUCAUAAGGUAAUCAACGUGAGUUCCAUAGGAUAAUUGGGCACUAUUAGGUCUCCUUACCGACCGAAUAACUUGUGGACUAAGAAAGCUUGCGAGUGGUGGAUAAAGGGUCCCGCGUCUUCCAGGAUCAAACUGAAAUUCACAAAACUUCCGAAGGAGUCUCCACAAAGUGGAGUUCUCGUUAACAGGGUUGGAGACCCGACAUACAGCAAAAGAACGACAAGACGCAUCUCCACGAACGGAUAUCUGCCGACUGUUACCUCCGCCGGGAACCAGAUGAACGUGCUCUUCUUCGCGGAUAGUGAGAAGCACAUGGUCAGCGCCAGAUGGAAAGUGUUCUCAGCCUAAGUUGCGUUCCUUGAUACAGGCCUAUAAAGUCUACUCCCGUCCCUCAAAUGUCGUUUUCGUUGACAAGGAAUUCGAUCGUCUACUGAGAAGUUUUUGAAACCAUUCCGGGUAUCUUGCAAGAAGAAUAUGGCAGUGCAGAUUACAUAUCAAAUUAUCAUCUUUUUGGAAAUCUAUAAGACCAACAGCUCUAGACACGAGGACAAUAUAAAUAUUUGCAGUUAAAGUUGUUUUGAAAUGAUUUUGAUAAUAUUACUCUCUUCGUAGAGCAGUCAAAAGAAAGAAUACUCUUUCCCUCAAUUCAGCCUAGUUCGUAUCUAGUUAAGACUUUAUCAGUAAAAAUGACUGUCAUAGUCAACUCUGUUUAAGUACUUACCAGCAAAUCUACAGUCAAAUCAAUCCAAUG
This is a long non-coding RNA of Macrobrachium nipponense, 876 nucleotides long. RefSeq lists it as uncharacterized. The transcript has 3 exons. Lineage: Eukaryota; Metazoa; Arthropoda; Malacostraca; Decapoda; Palaemonidae. The record is from RefSeq and is a predicted model, not a curated record.